CCCUUAGAUGUCCGGGGCCGCACGCGCGCUACACUGAAGGAAUCAGCGUGGCUUUCUCCCUGACCCGAAAGGGUUGGGAAACCCGUUGAAUCUCCUUCGUGAUAGGGAUUGGGGCUUGAAAUUGUUCCCCAUGAACGAGGAAUUCCCAGUAAGCGCAAGUCAUAAGCUCGCGUUGAUUACGUCCCUGCCCUUUGUACACACCGCCCGUCGCUACUACUGAUUGGGUGUUCAAGUGAGAUGCUUAGACCCUUGUUGCAUGGUUCAUUAUUGUGCUCCGAAAGGAAAAAGUUUCAAGCUUGAGUGUCUAGAGGAAGUAAAAGUCGUAACA
Molecule: ribosomal RNA, 328 nt
Filed under: uncultured eukaryote
Lineage: Eukaryota
Description: partial 18S ribosomal RNA
Rfam family: Eukaryotic small subunit ribosomal RNA
Source: RNAcentral